UAUUCUGUCCCACGGGGAAGGAUGAGAAGCUUCGAAUAAGGUUCGACUCGAGCGAAGCGAGAGAACGUUGCCGCAGGCAACGGCCCGAAGGGCGA
Molecule: small RNA, 95 nt
Filed under: Klebsiella pneumoniae
Lineage: Bacteria; Pseudomonadati; Pseudomonadota; Gammaproteobacteria; Enterobacterales; Enterobacteriaceae
Description: partial RtT sRNA
Rfam family: RtT RNA
About the family: This family represents a bacterial cis-regulatory element known as RtT RNA. The exact function of RtT is unknown although it is thought that it may be involved in changing the cellular response in relation to amino acid starvation.
Source: RNAcentral